This 264-nucleotide long non-coding RNA is filed under the name Setaria viridis. RNAcentral's name for it is "long non-coding RNA (SVIR_LNC007622)". The record is from RNAcentral. Lineage: Eukaryota; Viridiplantae; Streptophyta; Magnoliopsida; Poales; Poaceae.
AGUAAACUUACCGCAACACCACGUUUUGCAGUUUGAUCCCCAUAUUUGCUAGUUUUCAGUUUGCGUCUCAAUGCAAUAAACAUUUCGGAAUUUCCAUGGAUGAAUUUACUUAGUUUUUAAAUGAAAGGAUACUUUAUAUGGUUCUAUGUCACCACCUCACUUACACGUGUGCUCAAUUUUUUAAAUGAAAGGAGAUUGGUUGUCCUCACUUGAUUUUCCAGACAUCCUCUUUUCCUAUCUAUCCAUUGGUCAUUUCGAACUGAA